AAUUUCUGCGAGGGGAGGAGGGGGAGGCGCGAGCGAGAUCAUUGAAUAUUAAGCACGAUCCGGCCCGGCGGCCACGGCCAAACCCUCCCGGUGCAAUACCCAUUUUCUUUAUGAAAAGUUCAAGGUGUCACUGAUGAGCUCAACAAACUGUUGAUCCUGACCACGUGGAGUGGCAGACAGAGGGACUGCGGGGCGCGGCUGCUGGCCCUCAGCCGGCAGCACCCCCAGACCCCGCGUCCCUCUCGCGGCUCCAGCGGCCGCGCGCGGGUGGGGCCGCCACGCGCCCAGGGCGCUGCCUGCGCCUUCUCCCGUCCUUGGGCUCGGGGAAAUAAUAACUUUAAAAAAAAAAUUUUUUUUUAAGCGAGAUACGUUUUGCUCCUGGAAUAGUAAUAAGAGGGCUUGGGGUAGGGAGGAUGAGAAAGAGCCCCCACUUAUAUAACGACUUGAAAUUACGUGACUUUUGCUGGGGAGAUUCGGGGAUUUGCGCUUGCGCCAGGUCUGAGGUUGGUUAAAGAUCCUCAAACUUUUUCCCUUAAGAGCCAAUAAACAAACAGACGCCCCGGGAGCUGACUUAAACUCUUGUCGGGCCGGCGUUCGCUGGGAUUCUCAGACUCGGAGAAAGGCACACCCCUGCGGCGCUCGCAGGGAAGUCCCUCGGAAGCAGGGCGGGUCACUUUCGGAACUGGGACUCUGGCGUUCCCGGCGGGAAGGGAUCCCUAACCGCCGCCCCCUGGCUCCCCUCGGGCGUUUUAGAGUAAAGGCGGGCGGGGAUCUCUCUGUCCUUCGCCUGCGGCCUCGGUUCCGUGAACUUGCGUUCUGGGCGCAGCGUUCCUGCGGCACUGCUACUCUAAGGAGCCCUAAGGAAUUCGGGAUCCAGGGGACGCUUCGGAAUCUCACGGGGCAACCUGUCUGCGUCUCACAUUCCUGCCGGGACGGACCGGUUUCCCCUCCAAGGGCAUCUGGACGCGUCAGCCUUUCCCGGUGUCUUGCUCGCUAUUACCCUUCACUCUUCCAGGUCAUUCCACUGCCCUCCACUACUCCCCUUAAAAGUGUUGCCUUCUAGCCAACAUUCUGGCUCCCCUCUCAAUGCCGCCAUGUUCUCCUGACUCAAGCUGGUUGUAGGGCACGGGUGUGGACCCAUACCUCAUAUGGGGUCAGCCAUGACAGUGUAAAGGGAGGAUGACUUCAGCCCCAGGAAUACUUCCUGAUGACCGCUGGCUUCUAUUUAUACAGCCCAGCACUGGGCUUGCUCAGAGGAUGCCUACAUUACAUAUCUGUGACACCAUCAGCUUGUCAGUCACCCGGAGUCUGGAAUCAUCCUUUCUGUCAUCAAGUGGCCUGGGAUUACAGCAUGUUGAAGCUCAGUCCUACAUAUAGAUGCGGUUGCAACCAUGUCCAAUGUAGGAAAUACGGAAAAGCCCAAUAUUUGUGAGCCCUUGCUAGUUUCCAAAAACAUGUCUACAUACUCUGUCUCUCCGUUUUCACUGUUGUUUCUUGCUCGGACUCUGUGAGGGCCUCCUAACCAGUCUUGCUUCUUGUACCUUUGGGCGUCUCCAGUCUAUUCUCUAGAGCAGAGGUUGGCAAAAUUUCUCUGUAGAGGGCCAGAUGGCAAAUAUCUUAGGUUUCACAGGCCACAAGUUUGUUUCAAAGGCUGAAUUCUCCUAUUACAGCAUAGAAAUGGCCUUAGAGGAUACAUAAAUGAAUG
Long non-coding RNA from Ailuropoda melanoleuca (giant panda), 1705 nucleotides. RefSeq lists it as uncharacterized. Lineage: Eukaryota; Metazoa; Chordata; Mammalia; Carnivora; Ursidae. The transcript has 3 exons. The record is from RefSeq and is a predicted model, not a curated record.